This 46-nucleotide non-coding RNA is filed under the name Trichobilharzia regenti. The record is from RNAcentral. Lineage: Eukaryota; Metazoa; Platyhelminthes; Trematoda; Strigeidida; Schistosomatidae.
GUACUGAUGAUGAGUCCCAGACUAGGACGAAACAGCUGCCCAGUAC